UGAUGAACGCUAGCUACAGGCUUAACACAUGCAAGUCGAGGGGCAGCAUUUCAGUUUGCUUGCAAACUGGAGAUGGCGACCGGCGCACGGGUGAGUAACACGUAUCCAACCUGCCGAUAACUCGGGGAUAGCCUUUCGAAAGAAAGAUUAAUACCCGAUGGUAUAAUCAGACCGCAUGGUCUUGUUAUUAAAGAAUUUCGGUUAUCGAUGGGGAUGCGUUCCAUUAGGCAGUUGGUGAGGUAACGGCUCACCAAACCUUCGAUGGAUAGGGGUUCUGAGAGGAAGGUCCCCCACAUUGGAACUGAGACACGGUCCAAACUCCUACGGGAGGCAGCAGUGAGGAAUAUUGGUCAAUGGGCGCAGGCCUGAACCAGCCAAGUAGCGUGAAGGAUGACUGCCCUAUGGGUUGUAAACUUCUUUUAUAUGGGAAUAAAGUUUUCCACGUGUGGAAUUUUGUAUGUACCAUAUGAAUAAGGAUCGGCUAACUCCGUGCCAGCAGCCGCGGUAAUACGGAGGAUCCGAGCGUUAUCCGGAUUUAUUGGGUUUAAAGGGAGCGUAGGUGGACAGUUAAGUCAGUUGUGAAAGUUUGCGGCUCAACCGUAAAAUUGCAGUUGAUACUGGCUGUCUUGAGUACAGUAGAGGUGGGCGGAAUUCGUGGUGUAGCGGUGAAAUGCUUAGAUAUCACGAAGAACUCCGAUUGCGAAGGCAGCUCACUGGACUGCAACUGACACUGAUGCUCGAAAGUGUGGGUAUCAAACAGGAUUAGAUACCCUGGUAGUCCACACAGUAAACGAUGAAUACUCGCUGUUUGCGAUAUACAGUAAGCGGCCAAGCGAAAGCAUUAAGUAUUCCACCUGGGGAGUACGCCGGCAACGGUGAAACUCAAAGGAAUUGACGGGGGCCCGCACAAGCGGAGGAACAUGUGGUUUAAUUCGAUGAUACGCGAGGAACCUUACCCGGGCUUAAAUUGCAUUUGAAUAUAUUGGAAACAGUAUAGCCGUAAGGCAAAUGUGAAGGUGCUGCAUGGUUGUCGUCAGCUCGUGCCGUGAGGUGUCGGCUUAAGUGCCAUAACGAGCGCAACCCUUAUCUUUAGUUACUAACAGGUCAUGCUGAGGACUCUAGAGAGACUGCCGUCGUAAGAUGUGAGGAAGGUGGGGAUGACGUCAAAUCAGCACGGUCUUUACGUCCGGGGCUACACACGUGUUACAAUGGGGGGUA
RNAcentral lists this ribosomal RNA (1218 nucleotides) under uncultured organism. RNAcentral describes it as "SSU rRNA". It matches the Rfam family "Bacterial small subunit ribosomal RNA", at positions 26 to 1239 of the family's 1533-position model. The record is from RNAcentral.